GCCCCUGUAGCUCAGGCGGAUAGAGCACCGGCCUCCGGAGCCGGGCGCGGGCGUUCGAGUCGCCCCAGGGGCG
This 73-nucleotide transfer RNA is filed under the name Chloroflexota bacterium. RNAcentral describes it as "Chloroflexi bacterium (groundwater metagenome) tRNA-Arg". It matches the Rfam family "tRNA". From Rfam's summary of the family: Transfer RNA (tRNA) molecules are approximately 80 nucleotides in length. Their secondary structure includes four short double-helical elements and three loops (D, anti-codon, and T loops). Lineage: Bacteria; Bacillati; Chloroflexota. The record is from RNAcentral.